This is a long non-coding RNA of Andrographis paniculata, 1762 nucleotides long. RefSeq lists it as uncharacterized. The record is from RefSeq and is a predicted model, not a curated record. The transcript is spliced from 2 exons. Lineage: Eukaryota; Viridiplantae; Streptophyta; Magnoliopsida; Lamiales; Acanthaceae.
CAUUUAAACACUAGGAAUAUGCUGGUUAAAUCAUAGGAUCGAAAUUCGAAUGGAGUCUCGUGGCAUCUAAGCUGCAUUUCAAUUCGAUGCAAAAAUUAGAGGUGAUUUUUUUGUUUAGAUAUUUGGGGAGAUUAAGAGCAGGCGGUAUGGAAUGUCUCUGAUCCUAUGAUUUGGAGGCGGCCUUGGUAAGUCUCAACGUGCCUGGGGGUAGCUGUGUCUAUAACAGCAAUGUUGCAUAUGAGAUCUCCUGCUCUAAAAUGGAAAUGGUGGAGAUUUAAAUAUAGAAUUGAUAUCUAGAAUAAGAAUUGUUCAUUAGGAUAGAUAUCGAGCAGACUUACAGAAAUGGUUGUUAUACCACUUUGGCAUAAUCAGGGCUCCUAAUUCCUUACUCUCAAUUGGUUUCGCAAAUAUAUAUUCACUCUUUGAAUGAAUGUGGAAGCUGUCAUUUUUUAAUCUACUACUACAUUAGGAUAUCACUUUCCAUUUUGUUACUGAAUAUGCUGCUACCUAUUGAUUUGGUUGUUAGCUUUUUCCAGCCUAAUUAAUUCUUAGGGACUUUCGUAUGAGCUUAGUGUGUAAUUCAAUUGGCACAUUUUAUCAGUUUUUUUUUUUUUUUUUUUUUUUUAGAAAAAUAAAUAAAUCAUCUUAUUUAGUGAGUCUAAAUUCUGUAAACAUGUAUGGUACAUUAUCUAAUUGUUUUCUUUAAACAUGCUUUGAUAUGUUCUUGCUUAGGUUGGUAAUGGAUUCACAGAGAUGGAUGAAAAUUGGUGGAGAUUUUGAAAAGUUGUUACGGUUUUAUGGGGGCAUUUCUUCUGAUGGUAUUUGAAAUUUGUUGUUAAGACUUUAAUCUGUAUGGCGGCAUUUAUCUUAGAAACUUGGACAAGCUUUUCCACCAUGUCAUUUUUUUCAUAUUUUUGUAAAUAAUCUAUGCAGUUCGUAACUUCAGCAGUUUUUAUUUAACUAUAGUUUGCUCUUACCAUUGUCUCACGGGCAACUGAAUCUUACUUUUGUUUGUUUGGAUUUUGGACACCAUGUAUUGUGUGCUUAGUGUUUGGAUGUUCUUUGGUCAAUCAUAACUUGUAAGGGUACUAAAGGGAUCCACUAUUGCAUUCAUUUUUAGUUUUUGGAUACCCAAUUUUCUUCACUUACUGUAAGAUCAUUAUAAUUGGUACUUUUGGUUCUCCAGGUUUUGCACUAGUUUGAUCUCAAACUGGGACGCUCAAGAUUGACCUUGUUUGUGUUGUCAUUGCCACUUUACAGAUUUUGGCCUUCUUCGCUGCGCCUAAUUGGGUCGGAGCAAGCAAAAGUCAUGCAAGUUGUACAACACUGUGGUUGUAAAGGUCUGUGUAAUUCUGAAUUCAUAUCCUCCCUUCUCUUCUCUUGGAUUAUAAAAUAAUCUGAAUUCAGGUUACCAACUUCAACACUAAAUCCCCAGUGUGGUGAAAGAUUGGAUCCUCCUCCUCCUCCUCCUCCUGUUGAGGGCAGGCAAGGCAAGGCAAAUAAAUACAUAUACACUUCAGAUAACUAAGAUUGACAUUGCCUCAACAGUAGGAGAGAGUUGUACAAAAUACUCAUAAAAACAUACUUAUAUAGGGGGGAAUUGUCUGAAAACGCAACCAUAAAAUCCUAAACAAGCCUCCUCUGCAACCCAGAGAGAACAUUCAUGCUUUAAUGUUAGCAAAAUAAGUCUAAAACAACCAACCUUAAGAGCCAUCUAACUUGUUAUUUCUCGAAGCCCAUUCACUUCUUCCUCUUCUUCGGG